GACGAACGCUGGCGGCGUGCUUAACACAUGCAAGUCGAACGGAAAGGCCCUGCUUUUGUGGGGUGCUCGAGUGGCGAACGGGUGAGUAACACGUGAGUAACCUGCCCUUGACUUUGGGAUAACUUCAGGAAACUGGGGCUAAUACCGGAUAGGAGCUCCUGCUGCAUGGUGGGGGUUGGAAAUUUUCGGCGGUUGGGGAUGGACUCGCGGCUUAUCAGCUUGUUGGUGGGGUAGUGGCUUACCAAGGCUUUGACGGGUAGCCGGCCUGAGAGGGUGACCGGGCACAUUGGGACUGAGGUACGGCCCAGACUGCUACAGGAGGCAGCAGUGGGGAAUAUUGCACAAUGGGCGGAAGCCUGAUGCAGAAACGCCGCGUGCGGGAUGACGGCCUUCGGGUUGUAAACCGCUUUAGCCUGUGACGAAGCGUGAGUGACGGUAAUGGGUAAAGAAGCACCGGCUAACUACGUG
RNAcentral lists this ribosomal RNA (468 nucleotides) under uncultured bacterium. RNAcentral's name for it is "partial 16S ribosomal RNA". It matches the Rfam family "Bacterial small subunit ribosomal RNA", at positions 28 to 507 of the family's 1533-position model. The record is from RNAcentral.